Molecule: ribosomal RNA, 250 nt
Filed under: uncultured bacterium
Lineage: Bacteria
Description: partial 16S ribosomal RNA
Rfam family: Bacterial small subunit ribosomal RNA
Source: RNAcentral
GACAGAGGAGGCAAGCGUUGUUCGGAAUCAUUGGGCUUAAAGGGCGUGCAGGCGGCCGCGCAAGUGUCCUGUGAAAUCCCACGGCUCAACCGUGGAACUGCGGGGCAAACUGCGUGGCUUGAGGUCGGUAGAGGCGCCUGGAACUCUAGGUGGAGCGGUGAAAUGCGUAGAUAUCUAGAGGAACGCCAGGAGCGAAAGCGGGGCGCUGGGCCGAUUCUGACGCUGAGACGCGAAAGCGUGGGGAGCAAAC